RNAcentral lists this ribosomal RNA (305 nucleotides) under uncultured bacterium. RNAcentral's name for it is "bacterial SSU rRNA". It matches the Rfam family "Bacterial small subunit ribosomal RNA", at positions 337 to 635 of the family's 1533-position model. The record is from RNAcentral.
GCCUACGGGGGGCAGCAGUAGGGAAUUUUCGUCAAUGGGCGCAAGCCUGAACGAGCAAUGCCGCGUGAACGAGGAAGGUCUUCGGAUCGUAAAGUUCUGUUGAAGGGGAAGAAGAGCGGAGAGAGGAAAUGGUCUCCGAUUGAUAUUACCCUUCGAGGAAGUCACGGCUAACUACGUGCCAGCAGCCGCGGUAAUACGUAGGUGGCGAGCGUUAUCCGGAAUGAUUGGGCGUAAAGGGUGCGUAGGCGGCCUGCUAAGUCUGGAGUGAAAGGUACCGGCUCAACCGGUACAGGCUCUGGAAACUG